CCUGGCUCAGAUUGAACGCUGGCGGCAUGCCUUACACAUGCAAGUCGAACGGUAGAGGAGCAAUCCUCGAGAGUGGCGAACGGGUGAGUAAUGUAUCGGAACGUGCCCAGUAGUGGGGGAUAGCCCGGCGAAAGCCGGAUUAAUACCGCAUGAGACCUGAGGGUGAAAGCGGGGGACUCGCAAGAGCCUCGCGCUACUGGAGCGGCCGAUAUCAGAUUAGGUAGUUGGUGGGGUAAAGGCCUACCAAGCCUGCGAUCUGUAGCUGGUCUGAGAGGACGACCAGCCACACUGGGACUGAGACACGGCCCAGACUCCUACGGGAGGCAGCAGUGGGGAAUUUUGGACAAUGGGCGAAAGCCUGAUCCAGCCAUGCCGCGUGCGGGAAGAAGGCCUUCGGGUUGUAAACCGCUUUUGUCAGGGAAGAAAUCCUUUGAGCUAAUACCUCGGAGGGAUGACGGUACCUGAAGAAUAAGCACCGGCUAACUACGUGCCAGCAGCCGCGGUAAUA
This 508-nucleotide ribosomal RNA is filed under the name uncultured bacterium. RNAcentral describes it as "bacterial SSU rRNA". It matches the Rfam family "Bacterial small subunit ribosomal RNA", at positions 18 to 525 of the family's 1533-position model. The record is from RNAcentral.